GCCGGGGUGGCCCAGCCAGGUACGGCGACAGGUCCCCAACCCGUUGGCGCUUACGCGCUUCCUGGGUUCAAAUCCCAGCCCCGGCG
Molecule: transfer RNA, 86 nt
Filed under: Hadesarchaea archaeon
Lineage: Archaea; Methanobacteriati; Hadarchaeota (SeqCode); Hadarchaeia (SeqCode)
Description: tRNA-Gly
Rfam family: tRNA
About the family: Transfer RNA (tRNA) molecules are approximately 80 nucleotides in length. Their secondary structure includes four short double-helical elements and three loops (D, anti-codon, and T loops). Further hydrogen bonds mediate the characteristic L-shaped molecular structure. tRNAs have two regions of fundamental functional importance: the anti-codon, which is responsible for specific mRNA codon recognition, and the 3' end, to which the tRNAs corresponding amino acid is attached (by aminoacyl-tRNA synthetases). tRNAs cope with the degeneracy of the genetic code in two manners: having more than one tRNA (with a specific anti-codon) for a particular amino acid; and 'wobble' base-pairing, i.e. permitting non-standard base-pairing at the 3rd anti-codon position.
Source: RNAcentral